This 318-nucleotide ribosomal RNA is filed under the name Prorocentrum hoffmannianum. RNAcentral's name for it is "partial large subunit ribosomal RNA". It matches the Rfam family "Eukaryotic large subunit ribosomal RNA", at positions 514 to 845 of the family's 3401-position model. The record is from RNAcentral. Lineage: Eukaryota; Dinophyceae; Prorocentrales; Prorocentraceae.
GGUGGACGAAGGUGCCUGGUCGCAUCCAUUUGUGGGCUGAAACAAAUGGUGGCUGGUUGCAGCGCCCUGUGCCUGCUAGGCAGUUGGGGUGCAGCCGUGAUACGCAGACGAGGACAAAGUGCUUCUGUUCGACCCGUCUUGAAACACGGACCAAGGAGUCUGACACUCAUGCAAGCUCGCGGGUGGGUAAACUUGUUUGCGUAAUUAAGGUGUCUGUUGUGAUUGUUGUGCGCCAACGCCCGACCAAUCAAUCGAGAGAGGUUUGAUUUUGAGCAGUUCUGUCAGGACCCGAAAGAUGGUGAACUAUGCUUGAGAAGG